This 301-nucleotide ribosomal RNA is filed under the name uncultured bacterium. RNAcentral's name for it is "partial 16S ribosomal RNA". It matches the Rfam family "Bacterial small subunit ribosomal RNA", at positions 509 to 807 of the family's 1533-position model. The record is from RNAcentral.
CAGCAGCCGCGGGAAUACAGAGGAUGCAAGCGUUAUCCGGAAUGAUUGGGCGUAAAGCGUCUGUAGGUGGCUUUUCAAGUCCGCCGUCAAAUCCCCGGGCUCAACCCUGGACAGGCAGUGGAAACUACCAAGCUGGAGUAUGGUAGGGGCAGAGGGAAUUUCCAGUGGAGCGGUGAAAUGCGUUGAGAUCGGAAAGAACACCAACGGCGAAAGCACUCUGCUGGGCCGACACUGACACUGAGAGACGAAAGCUAGGGGAGCAAAUGGGAUUAGAUACCCCAGUAGUCCCUGUCUCUUAUAC